Non-coding RNA from Podarcis lilfordi (Lilford's wall lizard), 4574 nucleotides. The record is from the annotation of a GenBank genome assembly. NCBI's taxonomy places the organism in Eukaryota, Metazoa, Chordata, Lepidosauria, Squamata, Lacertidae.
GGAUGCUCUUCCUAGAAAAUUUGCCUCAGAUUGCAGCCUCCAACAUUUUCAGAGCCUGCAAGGAUUUGACUGCCUGAUUUGCAAAGAAAUGGCUCCCCUCAAGCUAAAGGCAGGAAUCUUUGAAGCCCACAGUCCAGCAAACCCAACAGCAGAUCUCCUUGACAACCACUAAGAGGGAUCCCCCCCCCCUUUCUUGGGCACAGACUAAAAGAAAACUUUUUGUAUGUGCCUUUUUCCCCCUUUCCCUUCAGGCUCAUCUAACCCUUAGUUCUGCCUUUUCCACUCCCUUCAGGUCAUUACCAUUAAUACCAGCCACUAGAUUUCCAUAACGUUUGAACAGAGCUAAAAGGACUCCCCUCCCUUUUCUUGGGUAUUUUAAUUUCCUGCAGUGUCAAGUGACAAUGUUGUUGUUGAUGAUGAUGACCAUUUUAGCAAGGACAUAUCAAAUUGGCUAGAUUACUGAACUAUUGAUAAAAUGUAGCUCUUUUUAUAAAAAAAAAUACAGAGGAGGGGAUUCAGAGGGUCGCUUCUUGUUAAGUGCAGAUAAUAAUCAUGUCAGAGUGGGCUACGUGUGAAUUUUCCAACAGUACGAAAAGAAUCCUGCUCCUUCCUUAAUGGCUUUCUUUAGUUCAUUUUUCUUAGAUAUUAUGAGUAGCGUAGGAAGGUGAGCUCGUGUGCUGCCAAGCUUUCUUCCAUAUAACUAUAUAACCAGUGUUUCUAAAAGCUUAGUAUUGAAUGAAGAAACUGUAGAUAGAAGUUUCCUCAACCUGCUUUUAUAUUAGUUCCUUUAUGCAGAAUACUUCCUACAGCAAUAGAUUUCCAUUUGAAACAGUUAGGAGUGAGAAGAGAGACAAAAUAAAUUAUAACAUGUAAAACACUAAUUGCAGAUAAAAGAGUUAAAUUCCACUCCAACACAUUAUACAUGGUGCAACAGGAGCUCCAACAUGCGGACAUAUCAGAAGAAGAAGAAAUGAUUCGGUAUUUUUAAAGUCCUUGUUAAUUCUUAAUUAUAAAAAUCUAGAAAUCCAAUCUGUGAUAUAUAAUUUAUUAUUAUUAUUAGGAAUUAGUUUUGAAUUCUUAUUCUUCAUCUGUUGUGUUCAUUCAGUUUAUUUGUUUGUUUGCAUAUGCCAUUUUAUACUGCCCCCUUUAGCCCCAAAGGCUCUCAGAGUGGCUUAUAAAAAUCAGUGUUAAGAGAGCCGCUGCCCUCAGGUUUACAAAUGAGGAAGGCACAAGGAAAGGACUUCUCAAAUGUCUGCACCUCUCUCUCUCUCUGGAUCUUGUUAUUUCUUUAAGGCUUUUCUUUUCUCUGCUCUCCUGUACAUUUGUGGAGAAAGGCAUGAAGAAGUUGUGAGUUUCUUGCUGAGCUUUCUCUCUGCAAAUGUCCCUGGGGAAGCUUACCUGGUACCUUAGAGCUCCAUCUAGUGAACUUCAAUACAUUUUAAGCAGAAAUUUCAUUCUUUAAAAGAUGGACAUGCUAGAACUACCAUUUAACAGACAGCCAUGGCAAACAUUCUGGAUACAAAAAUCCUCCUAUUAAAAACAAUCAAUCACAUUAAAAGCAAACCAUUCAAAUAACAAUGUGUAACAAGCAGUUAAAGAAACGAGGCAGUGGCAAAAGUAAUCGUUUGUUAAAAACCUGCCAAAACAAAUAGAUUUUUUUAAAAAAAUAUAUUUUUAUUGGCUUGUACAUAUAUUUUCCAAAUAAAACAUAGCAUCUCUCAUCUGAUACUACAUUUUGGCUAUAAGCCAUCAACCACGUCUAGUGAUUUUCGGCCUUCAUCUGUUAGUCUUGCAUUUCCUUAUCUUAACUAUUACUUUUAAUAAUCCAUACUUUAAAAUCCAUUCUCCUAAAAAUUUUCCUGUAAUAUUUAAUAUAGUUCUCCUUACAAAACUUCUUGUAAUCCUACAAGCGUAGUCAGCUGAUUACAAUUGUUUUUCAAAUAACCCGCAAAUUUACUCCAAUCCUUCAAGAAUUUUCGGUCCCGCUGGUUUCGAAUUCUUCCUGUCAUCUUAUCCAAUUAUGCAUAGUCCAUUAAUUUCAUCUGCCACUCCUCUUUCGUCGGCAAUUCUUCAUGCUUCCAUUUCUGUGCCAAUAAAACUCUUGCUGCCAUUGUCGCAUAUAAAAACAGAUUUUUAUCUUGCCUAUUAAUGUUUCUGGCUUUUUAAUAAAUGUAUAUUUCAACAUCUUUUUCAUCUCAUUGUAAAUCAUUUCCCAGAAACCUUUCACCUUUUUGCAUUCCCAACACAGAUGAUAAAAGUACCUUCUUUUUCUUUACAUUUCCAACAUUUGUUACUUAUUUUAUACAUUUUAGCUAAUUUCACUGGUGUAAUAUACCAUCUGUACAUCAUUUUCAUCAUAUUUCUUUCAAGGCAUGCAGUAAAUUUUAUUUCUUCUUUGCACAAUUUCUCCCAGUCUUUUAACUGUAUAUUAUAACCAAAAUCCUUGGCCCAAUGUAUCAUAACCGACUUAACCUCUUCGUCUUUCAAAAGCCAUUCCAUCAGCAACAAAACGAAUAGAUUUUAAAUUGCCAUCUAAAGCCAAUUUCCAAAUGCAGAUGGAAGAGUAUUCCAAAGCUGGGCCGCCAUCACUGAAAAGGUCCCGUUCCUUGUGCUUAUCCACUGGAAACCUUGCAAUGGCACUAUCUGAAGCUGGGUGGUUCUGUAUAGGAGCAAGAGGCCUUUGAGGGCUUUAUAGGUCAGUACCAGCGCUUUGGUACCAGCCAACCUAGCAGUUCGAAAGCAUGUCAAAGUGUAAGUAGAUAAAUAGGUACCACUCCGGCGGGAAGGUAAACAGCGUUUCCAUGUGCUGCUCUGGUUCGCCAGAAGCAGCUUAGUCAUGCUGGCCACGUGACCCGGAAGCUGUACGCCGGCUCUCUCGACCAAUAAAGCGAGAUGAGCGCACAACCCCAGAGUCGGUCACGACUGGACCUAAUGGUCAGGGGUCCCUUUACCUUUACCAGCACUUUAGAUUGAUCCCAGAAACAAAUAGGUAAUCAAUGCUUAUGCGGGGUUUGUGUUUCCCUCUAAAAGAGGGACAGUGGUGUCUUUUACAGAUAUAUACAACCUGACCCUAUGGCGGAGAGGUUCCCAGAUUUAACACCCCAAAAGCGUCUGCUUCUCCCAUAGCCCCAGCCUUGGAUUCCAACAGAAAUUAGGCAUGAAGUCUCGCAGCUGCGCAGCCUUCAACCUGCAGCUUGCCACACAAAUUCCCAACUCUGGCCUUUCUAACUACCUGCAAAUUAGACUACUACCUGGCACAGAGCCACUUCCUUUGUUUCCUUCAUGGCCCAUACCUAGAGGGCCAUUGCAUCACCAAGAAGCUAGCCUGGCUGCUCCAGGAAUUGAGGAUCCAUGCUGGAUCCAGGAAUUAGGAGGCGGCUCAGGUAUGCAGCCUACUCCCGCAAACACACAACAGACAUUAUAUACACCAGUCUGUGACGGCUCAACAAAAAUCUGCCCCCAAUAUUUCAGAGCAAUUUAACUUUGCCAUACUCUUUUUAUUAAGCCACCAGGAACCAAGUAGGAAAGUAAGAAGGCAUGCUGCGCCUGAGCAGCCACAAACAAAUGCUUCUACAAUUCUCCACCCACCCACCCAACGCCAACCGAUAACUUCACAAUCCUGAGGCUUUGAAGAGAGGUAUAUUUGAAAGAGCUGAAUAUAGCAAUUGUCCAGAAACAACUAAGUACCUCCGCCCAGCUUUCUAACGUUAACUACCCUAUAAUUUCCCAAAUAUCAGACUUCUAAAGUUGGACAUUUGUCUUUGGGGAAGGAGUGUGGGGAAGAGAACAGCUACCAUGGAAGAGUUCCUCUCCACUCUUUUUCUUGCUGCCACGAUUUUGGGGUUCCUCCUUUGCCCUCCAUCACUCCUUGCCCUCUCCCUUACUACUGAGGGUCUCCAACACAAUACCUUUCAAGUCUGAAACUAUCCCAGCCAAACUGCCAUGACCUUCCAACACUGGAAGCCCCUCAAAAGCUGCUGAAGUUUCUUUCUCCCUAACAGGAGAUCCCAUAUGUAGGGUCACUGAACCAGCUCUGCUUAUAAACCGGCUGCAUUUGGCUCUCCCCCUCCCCCAGCUUUUUCCAUUCAAGUUCAAGAACUUUACAACCUUAAGAACUUGUGCCUGAGUUUGCUCUUCCCUCCUCACCUCUUUUUCCUUUUGUGUCGUGCGCUUUAGGUUGUAAGCCAGCAGGCAUGCACUUGCCUUGUGGUUAUUGAUCUUUGGUGAGCCUUUUUGGCUGAAGAGUGGAGUCAUAAGCAAGUCCUGAGUUGGGUUUCUUUGAAUGAAAAAGCACCGGAGACACAGAGCAUUUAAAAAGCUUGCUUUAUUUACAAAUGUACAAGCAGAGCAUAAUGGAGACAGAAAGCCAAUGUUGCAAGGAAGGAGUUUUGCCAGAAAAUUGCCUAAUAGAGGAAUGACUGGGCAGCUGCUGCAGCCCUAUGAAGCUGCUAUAUGUGGAGUGUGACCCUUGGUGUAUGUGUUGCAUCAACAAUGCAGCCCCAGGUUGCAUCAACAAAAGUAUAGGUCUUAGUAGACUACAAGCUUAACACGAGUCAACAGUGUGAUGCAGCAGC